This 497-nucleotide ribosomal RNA is filed under the name uncultured bacterium. Its description in RNAcentral is "partial 16S ribosomal RNA". It matches the Rfam family "Bacterial small subunit ribosomal RNA", at positions 28 to 507 of the family's 1533-position model. The record is from RNAcentral.
GGUGAACGCUGGCGGCGUGCCUAAUACAUGCAAGUCGAGCGAACAGACGAGGAGCUUGCUCCUCUGACGUUAGCGGCGGACGGGUGAGUAACACGUGGAUAACCUACCUAUAAGACUGGGAUAACUUCGGGAAACCGGAGCUAAUACCGGAUAACAUGUUGAACCGCAUGGUUCAACAGUGAAUGACGGUUUUGCUGUCACUUAUAGAUGGAUCCGGGUCGCAUUAGCUAGUUGGUAAGGUAACGGCUUACCAAGGCAACGAUGCGUAGCCGACCUGAGAGGGUGAUCGGCCACACUGGAACUGAGACACGGUCCAGACUCCUACGGGAGGCAGCAGUAGGGAAUCUUGCGCAAUGGGCGAAAGCCUGACGGAGCAACGCCGCGUGAGUGAAGAAGGUCUUCGGAUCGUAAAACUCUGUUAUUGGGAAAAAAAAAAAGUGUAAGUAACUAUGCACGUCUUGACGGUACCUAAUCAGAAAGCCACGGCUAACUACGUG